Molecule: long non-coding RNA, 16320 nt
Filed under: Nicotiana benthamiana
Lineage: Eukaryota; Viridiplantae; Streptophyta; Magnoliopsida; Solanales; Solanaceae
Description: long non-coding RNA (NBEN_LNC027256)
Source: RNAcentral
CACAUUGCACCUGGGUAAUUUUCCUGUCUCAUAAAGAUGAACUCUAAGAAAUUUUGAAUAUUAAUGCAAAAAGAUUGAAAGAGAAAAAGGGAUAUCUGAUCUCAAAAAUUCAAAGUGAUCAUGGAGGCGAAUUUGAAAGCAGAGCUUUUGAAGACUUCUGUAACGAUCAAGAAUACAUUCACAAUUUCUCUGCAUCAAGCUCACCACAGCAAAAAGCGAUUGUGGAAAGAAAGAACAGAACUCUUCAAGACAUGGUUGUCACACCUCCUUUUUCACAACACCCGCAAGGGCAUAAAGGAGUUUUUCCACUUAAAGGACAAUCGAAACGAGAUUUAAUUAUUAAGAUUUCAGAGUUGGCACUUGUGAGAUUAAUGGUGUCCCAAGUCACCGGUUGAAUCCCGAACCGAGGAAAGAUAUUGACUCUGUUAAAAGUUUGCGAACCAGAAAUCCGAGUAAGGAAUUCUGUUAACCCGGGAGAAGGUGUUAGGCAUUCCCGGGUUCCAUGGUUCUAGCAUGGUCGCUUAACUGUUAUAUUUGAUUUUAUCUUAUUUCAAAACAUGUUUUAGCUUAUGUGUUUUUCAACCUUAGACCGCUUUUAUAUUUAUUUUAAUGAGAAUUGCAACAUUGUGAAAAUACGUCUCGAACCAUAUCACAUCGAUAUAUCCGUGGUUGUUGACAUAUAUUGACUCCGUUGGUUUUGGAUUUGGGUCACAUAAAUAUGCACCCGAGUUUAAGAAGGUAAGUUAUUAAAAACGCGCCUAAAACAUCUAACACGUUAUUUUAUUUGGGGAGGGCUGUGAAAUUUGCUAAAUAGCCCGUCCUGAUUCUAAUUCCAAAGAAUUGUACUCAACUAAAGCAAACUAUGAGAUUUCAACAUCACAUUAUCACUUUCUCGUCCUAACUCUCAACUCACCGCCCAUUGUCACCGAAAUCUAACAGCUAGAACCAAAACAUCUUCCUAUACAUCCACUUAUUGAUAACAAAUUAACAACAAUGAGUAGAGAAGAAUAACUUAAAUAAUAGCAUUAAAAGUCCUAAAAAUAAUGCACACACAAACCAAUGAUCUAGCUAACUACCAAAAUCCAUAAAAUUUAUAUCCUAAGUGCCUAUGCUCAUGUUGUAAUCGGGUAAAAGCAACAGUUCACAAAUGACUUACAUCAAGAAAAACCACAGUAACCUGCUAUUGAUAUCACUUUAAGCAUACCACUGCAUCUACUAGCUCAAUAAUGCAUAGAUCUUAGCAAGACGAACUUGAGAUAAUCGUUUCCUUUCAAGUUUAAUUUCAACCAGAUGCGCUACUGAUCAUAAUUAGUGCAACAGUCAGAUUUUAGUCAUAAACAUGCGGCAAGAAAAUCUACACCUGAAUACAACUUUAAACAUGGCUGCUUGAAUCAAGACAUAAUAACUUUCACCAAAAUACUACUUCUCAGUUUACUCGGCAAUUGGAAUCAGACAACAAAUUCAAAAAAAAAAACUAGUAUUCUCCUUCCAUAUAGACCGAAGACAAACAAUUCAAUCCAUUUAAACCCCGGCUCUCAUUAUCAGUUAAUCAUACCUUCAGUAUAAGGGUCAAAGAUUCAAAGAUUCAAACCUGAAUAAGAGCUUUGAAUUGAUGUUGAAAUCACUAGAAAGAGGUACAAAUGAAUUUGGAUGUGCAAAUUCCAGCAGCGAGCUAAACAUUGAGUAGCAACAAAAAACUAAUCAGACUAAACACAGCGGAACCUCGAGCAACAGCGGGGAACUCGACUCGACACCUCGACUCGAUUUCAAAAACUCAAAUAGUUCUCAGACGGCCACUCGAAGCAGUGAACCAAUUGAAACAACGGCUCUGAAUUCGACAACCACCAGUGAAUCCAAAUCCACAUUCGUUCACUUGAAGUCCAUCAUUUAAGAAUUUAACUCAAAACCCAAAACAAAUUUAAAAAAUCGAGAACAGAGGAAGGGAAAGACGAAUCUGUGUUUUUUUCUGUCCCCAGAUCUCCUCUCCCCCUUUUCUAAUUCUCUUAGUCUGUCCAAUAGAGGAGAGUGCGUGCAUUUUUAUCUAAAGAAGAAGAUGGGUAGAUUCACGUUAUUUCCGUGUCCCUAAGGUGUGAGGGAUCUGAUGGGUUUUUAAAUGGGUUGGGUCAUGGUUUGACCCAUUUUCUUGGACUGGGGUAUUUUAACUUGGGCUAGCCAAUUUAAAUGACAAAUGGCCCAAAGUUGGCUGGCCCUUUAUUUCUUCAUUUCAAUUUCUUUUUAUUUUCUUUCUUCUUUUUUAUUUAUUUAAAUUUUGGAUUUUGUUAAGUGCAAAAAUUAAAAAUAUCCAAAACCUUAUUUAAUAAGACUAAUUAAAUUUCCUAAAAUUAACUAGAUCCUAACUAUAAGAGGAAAAUUAGACAAAAGUGAAGUUAAAGGAACAAAAGUGCAAAAUGAUUAUUUUUUGGUUAUUUAUUUUUUCCUCUUAUGUUCAAUGAUGUUCAAUUAAUCUAAAAACCUAGAAUUGGGUCCUAAAUGCGAGCAUGCUAUUUUUGCAAAUUUUUCAUUUUUUAUGACGACUAAAAAUGCACAGAAAAUGCAAACAAAACACAAAAUCAUGAAAUUAAUUCCUAAAAGUUCUAAUACUAAAAGAAAAAUUCUAAUUUUAAUGAUUCUAUAGGUGUAAUUUAAGCGCAAAAAAAAUUAUGUGCUCAUAGCUGCCCCUAUUUGCUCGAAGACACGAAGAGUUUUCGGGCAAAGAUAAAUGAGCAACAUGAGGGAUUUUUGCCUACUCGGCACCCCAGGAGAAGUAUUUUUGAAAACUGUCUGACCGUACCCCACUUCAGAGUUUCCUACAUAUCCUUGGCUAUAAAGGAAUCAGGUCAGUAUAGUUCUUGAAGUGAGUGAGAUGAUAGAGUAUGCCGAGGUGGAGAGGCAGUCAAGGUUCCGUUCUGCCGAGGUUCCGUUCCGUGGUCCUGUUAUUAUAUCAAAAAUCAAAACAUGAAAAAGACUAACUAAGCAUGUCAGCUAUGAGUUACAUGAUUCCUAUCAAUAAGUCUUCUGAAGCUUGAUCUUGAGUCUUAAAUAGUUGUCAUACAGACUUUGGAUUUGAACCUUUACGCUUGCUAGUUGCAGGUGCUAGUUCAUUCUUCCUUAGCUUUUCAUACCAAACCCGGACAACACACCAUGCUUGUGACUUCAUUCAUGUCUUAAGCAGCUCACAUCUUUCAUUAGCUUCUGCAUUUGGAUUAAUUUCUUGCCCUUCUAAUUUUUUUUAUUGUGACUAACUUUUGUUGAUCACCUCGGACUGCUGACUCCCCUUCUUGCCACGAGCUUCUUUUGUUGCUAACAUGAAUUGUGUUCUAAAGUGGGUUCUCUUAUUCUCCAAGUAGGCGCCUGAUUGCUAAUACUUGCACUGUUUUUCCUCGAAGCUUGAGCUAUUUUCCCUUGAAAUUUAUGCUAUAUUCCUUUGAAACUUGAAUUGCUUUCCCUUAGUUUUCCAGGUGGGUUUCUGAUUACCAACAUUUACAAUAUUUUUCCCUUGAAACUUGAAUUGUCUUCCCUUGUUCUCAAGGUGGGUGUCUGAUUGCUGAAACUUUCUGUGUUCCCUUAUUUUUCAUGUGGGAUCCUGCAACCAAAACAAACAAAACAAACAAAAUUUUCUGCCCCAGUUUGCAAUGGGAAGAUUUGUGAGUUGUUAGCAAAAUUGUAAACUACUUAUACUACUGAUGCUAUGAUGAGAGUAAACUAAAGACUAGACUAGGAUGUGUGUCUCCUACGAAUAAAACCAAAAAUUGACUAGCAAAUACGUCUGCUAAAAUAAAACCUGAAUGAACCAAACUAGGAAGUGUUUCUCCUAAUGAUGAAUUUGAAUGACCAAGACUAGGAAGUUCGUCUCCUAUGGAUGAAAACUUCAGUGACUAAAACGAGAAAGUGCAUCUCCUAUGAAUGAACUUCUCAAUUUAGGGAGUGCAUCUCCUAUGAGAAUGACUUGAAAGAUCUUGAUUAGGAAGUGUGUCUCCUACAGGUAAAACUUCAAUGAACCAGCAUAGGAAGUGCGUAUCCUAAGGCCGAACUUAAAUGACUCAAACUAGGAAGUGCGUCUCCUAGGGGUGAAAUCUCAAUUUAGGAAAUUUGUCUCCUAUGGGUAAAACUUAAAUGACUCAAACUAGGAAGUGCGUCUCCUAUUAAUGAACUAUCAAUUUAGGAAGUGCGUCUCCUACAGGUAAAUCUUCGAUGAACCGGACUAGGAAGUGUGUCUCCUAUGGUUGAUCUUGAAUGACCUAAACUAGGAAGUGCGUCUCCUAGGGGUGAAUUUAAAUAUAGGAAGUGCGUCUCCUAAUAUAAAAUAUAACCUGAAAAAAUAACUAGACCAGGAAAUGCGUCUCCUAGAUGUGGAACUUUCAUAAUUUAAACUAGGAAAUGCAUCUCCUAUAAAUGAGCAAGUGCAUCUCCUAUGGGUAAAACUUCAAUGAACCAAACUAGGAAGUGUGUCUCCUAGGACCGUAUUUAAAUGACUCAAACUAGGAAAUACGUCUCCAACAAAUGAACUUUCAAUUUAGGAAGUGUGUCUCAUAUGGGUAAAACUUCAAUGACUCAAACUAGGAAGAGCGUCUCCUAUGAAUGAACUUUCAAUUUAGAAAGUGUGUCUCCUAUGGGUGAAAAUCAACUUAGGAAGUGCGUCUCCUAUGGGUGAAAUCAAUUUAGGAAGUGCGUUUCCUAGAGCAAACUGUAAAUUGAAAGACUUAGACUAGGAAGUGCAUCACUUAGGGGUAAACCCAUCAGUGACUCAAACUCAUAUGAUCCAAACUAGGAAGUGCAUCUCCUAAGGGUAAAAUCUCAGUUUAGGAAGUGCAUCUCCUACAACAAAAAUAUAACUCGAAAACAUAGACUAUGAAAUGCUUCUCCUAGUGGUGAUGCGUGAUCUUCUCAAUAGCCUUUGCGCAAGCAGAAUUGGCCAUUACACCCAAAAAAAUUAACCUUCCGAGCUUUGAUAUGAACAUUGCUUCUGUCCCUGUUUCAUACAAAGAAUACUUGUGAGUUUAAAAAUGGUGGUUGGUUUGUGGCCUUGACUUUGCUAUGAUUGCUCCUUCACUUGCCAUGAUAACAUUGAUUUCGCCUUGAAAUACAUUGCUUGCUUAUUCACUAACCAAUUUCUCUAUCACCCAUAUCACAGUAAAUACCUCUUCUCCGUUCAGACCCAAUACCCUAUAUCUGUUAUAGCACUCAAGAACUGACAUCCACCAAACCUUUGUAUUUCACAUGAUCCCCAUAGUAUAUUGAUUAUUACCAACUUCAGUACGUACAUUGUUUUUUCCUGAUUUAAAUCACUGGCCUUUGCCUUGAGACCUAUCGUUCCCUCACUUGUCACGAUAUCUUUAACUUCUGCUUGGAAGACCUCGUUUAUCACUGAUUAACCACUUUCUUUGUUGAUCAUCACAGAGAAUACCUUUGACCCAUUCAUCCAACAUCCUCUAUUUGUUUCAUUGUCCAUGACUUGAUAUGUACCAAACCUUUGUGUUUCACAAGGAUCCUGAAGUAUGUGGAUUGUUACCAGAUCAGUGCUCUUGUUGUUUUUCCUAACUUGUGAUACUUUGAUGUGCUUAGCCAAACCCCAUUUUGUACAAUCAGAAAGCUGGAGGCAAAUUUUGAAGUCAUUUCUCACUUGUUAUGUCCAACAGACUCAGGAAAAGGAAAUGAACAAAACAAAGGAACGGAGUGAAGGACAAAGGGAAGAGAUGAUUCCAAAAGAGAAAACUACAAAGUAGAAACCUAUCAUAUGUGGAUACCAAUUCUAAUGACCAUUACAUGCACCUGUAGAUAUUCUGUCAAUCAAACCUGAUUUUCAGCUCUUGUUGUUCCUUUUCACCGUGAAAUUGGGCUUCAAUGCUCCGCUUAUCUAAUCUGAUUCGCAAUCCUUAUUCGACUUGUAGUGCCCGAAGUAUUUUCACCAUCAAGUCGCUCUCAUUUUGUUCUUUAUCUCAACAUACCGUUGCCUCAAGAUGCCCAUGAAGGUUUUCACCAAUAAGACUCUCACAUUUUUAUUUCUCUUAGCUUUCAUCAUCUUGCGGUACCCCUGAGGGUUUUCAUCAAUUAGACUCUCUCAUUUUUCCUUUUUCCUUGCUUAAUCCAGAAUGUUGACCUUGAUAUUAAUCACCUCUGCUUGCUCGACUUGGCAUGUAUCGAAGACUGAUCAUAACGUCUUUCUUUGGACUGUAAUGUGGGCUUUUGAAAGGGGUUAGAAAGAAAGGGUAUAAAAUGCUCAAAACAAUUCAAAUGGGUUAAAAACUACAACUUUUGGAAUCAAAUUUCUCACAACAACCACAACUUCUGCCCCAGUUUCUUGCUUGGGGACUUUUGAAUUUUUAUUUCGAUAAGACCGAAUCGUGAGGCUUCCUACGUAUCCUUAAAAGAAUCAGGUCGAAUGUAGUUAAUGUCAUAGGAAUUACUCUGUUGUUGUGAUUUUUAUUUUCUUUUUCUUCUUCUUUCUCUUCUUUCUUUUCUUUCUUCCUUUUCUCUUUUAUGUUGUCUUGUUGUUUUGUUGUUUUUUUCUUUUUCCUUUUUUCUUCUCUUUUCCUAUUUUUCUUUUCUCAUUCUUCUUUUUUUAUCUUUUCAUUCUUUUUCUUUUCUCUCAUCCCUUUACUAAUCUUUCACGCUUGUGUUUCUGAUCUUUGCUACGGAUUCCAAAAGAGGGGUAUGAAAGGAACUAACAAGGCUCAAAAGGAUGAGAAGGGAUAAAAAUUUUAGAUAGCAGAACAAAAUGCCUUCGUCAUUCCAAUCCCCAAAACAUGCUAAGUGUGAAUUACACAAUUAAACAACCGUAUCCACGCAUUCGUCUUCUGCAAAUGUGAACUACAAAAUGCCAUUGGACAACACUCUGACUCUCAUUACCCCGAACGACCCCCUGUCAAUUUGGCAAACUUGCCUUUAGGAUUUCAUUAUGUUCUAUCUUCCCUAGUUCCACAUAGUUCGGGCGUCAACAAUCUCAAAACAUCCAAAUCCAUUCUUAUUUCCUCAGAAAUGAUUCCAUUGCUUGCUUACUAAAUGACUUUUAAAUAUCAUACUAGGAAUAAUGCAUGCAUGUCAUGUCACUAGAACCAGCACGAAACAAAAGACAAAACAAAAAAACAAAGAAGAUGACUGGAGGUAAAAAAGACCGAAAUUUUUAUUAGACAAACGGUGAAACAGUUCACAUAAUAACACAAGCAAAACAAACUGGAGUACAACCCUAAAACAAACAUGGAAAACACUAAACAGACCAUUACGACUAAACAAGCUAGACAAAAUGAAAGGAUAAGAGGGUUUGAACACAAGACAAUAUCCAGAUUACAGUCCUAAAAAUAACCCGCACAAUAGAAAUGACAACAAAAUAAACCACCUAGACUUCUCUCUAGCUAGCCAAGAGACGAAGCGUCUUUCCAAUUACCAAGCUCGGCAUCUUAGCCACUGAGUUCUGCAUCAAUAUUUCCAAGACCAUUACCAACUUCAAUAUGAUCAACUUCAGUCAACAAGUUCCCAAGAGGAUUCGCAUGCUCCCUAUCACUGUCAUUAACCACAAUUACCCCUUCUUCAAUCAUUAUUUCUACUUUCCUUUUUCAAUUCACGACAAUUCUCCACAUUGUGCCCCAGAUCAUUGGAGUGGUAUUCACACCUAUUAGAUGAGUCAAAGCUUCUCGCACGUCGGUCCACCUGAUUUGGAGGAAUGGGUGAAAUCAUGUCAUGUUGUCUUAACUUCUCAAAUAGGCUUGCCCUUGGACAAUAGAGUUGUACAUGCAUCGUAGAGUAGGAUCAAAUCCUUUUGCAUAUGGGUCUAGAGUAUAGCCAAGGAGCGGCUCAAUCAGGCUAGAAUGCUUUAACUUUUCAAAUAAGCUUGCAUAGGACUCCCCAAUUCGCGUGAAGCUAUUUCUUUAUCUUUGCUUCCCUGCCUAUUUUUUUCGUUUGUUGGGUGCUCGAAAAUGUUGUGAAGGCAAUAAUGCAUUAUACGGUGCUGGCGCUUGCCAUAUGAACUGACCUGGUGGUUGGACAUAUGACCGGACAUUGUUUAGAGAUAAUACUGAGGUGGAUUACGUGGAGCUCGGGGAUAGGUUUGGGGUUGGAGUUGAGGCUGGGUGUAUUGGUGAGGCGGAUCCUUUGGUCUAUGUCGUGACUCUGAAACAACCAUGGCAACAUCAUCACGUUCCUUCUGACCCCAGCGAUCUUCCUAGGUCGCUCUGAAUUGCUCGUGUUGUGGCUUUCAAAGCAGAAUAACUUAUGAUCUUGCUAGACUUCAGCCCAUUUUCUACCAUUUCUCUCAUUUUUAUCACAUUAUUGAAAUGCUUACCCACAGCCAUGAUCAAAUGCCCAAAAUAAGUUGGUUCUUGAGCUUAAAGAAAGUAGUCGACCAUCUCUCUUUCUUUCAUUGGGGGAUCGACUCUAGUAGCUUGCUAUCUCCAUUUGAGCCCGUACUCCCUAAAGCUUUCAUUAGGCUUCUUUUCCAUCUUGGCAAGGGACCUGCGAUCCGGGACGAUUUCCAUAUUAUACUGAAAGUUCCUGGCAAAACCUUAAUCCAUAUUGUCCCACGUGUACCACCUGUUAGCAUCUUGGCAGGUGUACCACUCCUGAGCUGCCCCACUUAGACUCUGACUGAAAUACGCAAUCAAUAAUUUGUCUUUCCCACCGACGCCUCUCAUCCUACUGAAGUAACCUCUCAAAUGAGCCACGGGAUCUCCGUGCCCGUCAUAUAAAUCAAACUUUGGUAUAUUAAACCCAGCAGGCAAUUGGACGUCAGGAAACAAGCACAAGUCUUUGUAAGCCACGCUCAUCUGGCCCCUUAUUCCUUGUAUGUUUCUUAAAGACUGCUCUAAGAUUUUCACCUUCCUGGAUAUCUCAUCCUGAUCCACCGUCUUGCCAGGCUUUUCAGUUUCACCAUGAGCCUCAAGAUGAAGAGCGUGAGAGUAUGGAUCCGAGACUUUGAAAUUUCGUUCUGGAGCAAAGUGUUGGGCAUCAGGGACUUUGAACACAGUCUCGUUAGAGGAUCGAGGAAAAAUAGUUGGUGGAGGAGCUCCAAAAGCAUAAGGGGCCAAAUGAGCGGUACAUGAGGUGGUUUUGGCGGGUAGGGUGUGAAAAGGUUGUGGGGAGAUAUUAGCAGCGGUGAGAAUCUGGAUUUGUGCUAGUGGUGGAAUAGUUGCAGGGUUUUUAGUGUAGCUAGUGGGGAAUGAAGGUGUAGGAUGCCCCAUAAUCCAAGACUGAUGCAUUUCUGCCAUCUGUUGUUUCAUCCUUUGGAGCUUCUCUUUCAAUUCAGACUCCGACCCCACAAACUCCCUUGAGGGAUCAACAACUCUUGUGUCCAAGUUUUUGCUAGCCAUGGCUACCUUGUCCUUUGACCUUGUGUUGUAUGGACGAGUUACCUUAAGAACCACAAACUAACCACCUUUCUGCUAUAAUGAGGAGAACAAAAUGAAGUCAUCAUGUUAGCGUUAGGGCAUUUAACUGCUAAAGAUAUCACAUUUAAUGCAAUGCACCUAGCCAUAAUUAUCGAUUCUAAAAUGACUUCGAGGGUACGAAGGUCAGUUGGCAUCAUCCCCAUUUAUUCAUUUCAACUUCUCUUUUCUUUGCUUUUCUGGCACUUGCUUGCUCAUUUUUCUUUCUCUUUUCUCUUUGAAUUAUCGCUCUUUUCUUUCCUCUCAUUUCUCGCAUCCCAUGAUUUCACCCUUUUUUUCUUCAUUUUAUUCUUUUUCUUUUUCUUUCUUUUUAUUUUAAUAAAUAAAAAAAUAUUCGAUCGAACCUUAUGUAGGUUGCCUACGUAUUAUGACCUCGCAUGAAUUAGAUCUUGGCGUAGUUCAGGAAAAUCAUGAAUAAAAUAAACAAACUAACAUUCUCCUUUUUGCUUUUUUUUAUGACAGUCUGAUGAGAAAAGAAAAAUGAAGUAGCAAACCUUUUUUUCGGAAUUUUCUAGAAUGAAUGUUCUAUACCUUAUUCUAAACUCAAGCUUAAUGAGCAUAUAUAUAUAUAUAUAUAUACAUUUUUUGAAGCAAAUACUCUAUUAAGGAAAAUCCUAGAAGAGAAAAAUAUUUUUUGACCAUUUUUUAAGGAAGAAAAUCUAAAGAAUAAAUAACAGCAAAAAAUUAUUUAUUUGAUAUCGUGAUGCAAGACUUCGAAACAAGCCAUGAAAAAUGAUAAAACAAAAUAUUUUUGAAUUUUAACUUGAUUACCUAAGGGAGAAAUUAUGAAAUAAACCAAAGAUAAAAUAUGUUAUUUUUUUCUCUUUCUUCUACGUACAAUUUCCUAACAUUCUUGUGGAAAUGAAAGAAUUUUUUUUAUUUUUUUUAUUUUGUUUGCUAAUUUCUCAAAGAAACACCUCAAAAGAAAAUCUCUUUGGAUUUUAAAUUAACACCUUAAAACAGGAUUUUAAAGAAGUACUAAAAGAAAAUUCUUUUUUUAGAAACAACCGUAAUUUGUCAUUUCUAGAAUUAGUAUUCUUAAAUAAAACUUAUAACGGAAAUAUAAAAAAAUGUUAAAUUUCUCUUCUUUUUUCAUUUCUACAAUCCAAUGGAACAAUGACCGUUAACAAAGCUUGAACCAAAAACUUUUCAAAAACCCAAUAUCAACCCAUUUAAAGACUCAAAAUAAGAAACCUUUGUUUUCACAAAGUUCAAUAUCUCAGACAAAGUUCAAUAUCACACAUAAUACGCUUCAAAUGCUCAUUGUAUGUGGAGCUGCAGUGGCUCGUUCUUAGUCCUUUUCUUUUUGCAUCAGUUCUGCUAGCUGCUAGCUGCUAGCUGCAAGACGAAGAAUAGAAAAAACUAUUAAUGAACUUAUGAAAUGAAAACAAACUAACUCAUGCGAAAUCCAAAUACGAAGGAAGAAUAGGCAAGUCCGUGAAAAGUGAAGACAAUCAAAAACUGCAAGUGACUUUCAACAUAUUGCAAGAUAAAAUAUUUUCCCAGAAAGACAAAUCAAGAAUGUUUAUCAGUGGAUAAGCAGGUCAUGUCAAAUGGCACCUUCUAACUGUUUUAUUAUUGCUCAGCUGACUUCUUAACCAUCUUAGCAAUGGUCUUAACUCCUUCAUGAACAUCAAAAGCAUUUGUUUGUACAUCCAUUACCAGUUUUCAGGAGAUACCUCGCCCCUGAGAGAUCAGAUCACAGAUCCACCACAGCAAAAACCUACGCGACAACGUUCCUCUAGUGGUAGCCCUCGUACCAAUCCAUACAAAGAAACUAACCAGGCAUCGUUAAAGUAUUACACAGAACUGCAAAUCGAUUCUCAUUAAGUAAUAUAGAUAUGUUUAUACUUUAUUUCUCAGUGCUUAUUCCUUUUAACUUUUUGUUUCAAACAACAGAGAACUCUAAUUGCGACAACACAAGUAGCACUCAUACUUAAACUUCCAAUAAACUUAAGCUUGGACCAAGACCAGAAACAAGCAUUGGUUUGCAUGGAGGUGGCUGAGGUUUCUUUGCUUUCAUUUGGUCUGCAGCGGGACUGGGGCCAAGGGUAAGUUCAAGUUCAGAUAUUUGAUUAGUUCUUGCUGCUGCUAGUCUCUGUUUUAGCUCAGAAUAUAAAGCUUGGUUCUCCUGUCUGAGCCGUUGUGCCACUUGCAAAAGAGAUCUCAUGCACCUGUAGCAUCUAUUACUUUUGCCUCGCCGAUUGAUGGAAUACAGACUAACUCUUUCCCAUGUUUUUUCAUGCACUCACUUUGCGCUAAGGUUAAAAUACCCCACUUGAAUUGUUUAGCCAGAAAUUCAAGUGCUACCUCAGGAUCUGCAUUGAAGGGUAGUUGCAACUGCAAGGAUCAUCACUGUAGGCGAACAAGUAUUCCCUGUCCAUGACUCGUAGCAAUUCCUUUUCACAGAAUCUCGCUGGAUGAAGUUCACCAUUUGCACCAAUUGUAAGAGUUCUCUUAGCUACUUGGCUAACUGUGUUCUUGACAGCAUUCUUUAAGUUUUCCUCCAAAUGCCUCAAGUCUAUAGCUUGGAAAAAUUCCACUAGAUAAGUUGAUGACAUGAGCUUUAAGGUAUCGACAACUUCAGCUGUUUUACUUGCUGAGAUUAAGCCUAAGGAGUUGACAUGUUGGUUGUGUUGCUCCAUACUUUUGACAUGGUUUGUCACCGGAUUUGCCAAGAAUUGAAGUUUUGAGCAGUAAGACACCAUGGCGAUUUUAGCUCCCUUGAAACCAUAGUCCAAGCUUGGAUUCCUUGAUGCAGUGAGAUUUGAUGGCAACCCAUUGUUGUAAUAGUCAUUGACAGGUUCCGAGAAUUGAGCAAACAUCAAUUUCCCAAUUGAUGCAAGAACCAACCUUGCAUUAUCCAUGGAAACACCGAUAGGAGUGCCUUGGAAGUUGCCACCAUGUAAUGCCUUGGAAGUUGCAUACCAGAACCAACUGUUGUACCAUUCACAAGUGAAAGUCCUUCCUUAGGCUGCUACUCAAGAAAUCCACCGUUAACACUAGUAGCACGGAACACCUCUUCAGCGUUAAGGGUCUCGCCAUUGGGACCAACAGACUUGGAAUUAGGCCUGCCAGUGAGCAAACCAACAAUGUAGGAUAACGGGACAAGAUCGCUCGAGGCAGUGAUCAUGCCACGGAGAGGCAAGCAGGGAGUGAUGUUGUUGUUAAUCAAUUUUGGAAUUGCUUCCAAAAUUUCAAAUUUGAUGCCAGAGUAGCCUUGUAGGAGUGUGUUGAUCCGAACAAGCAUAGCUGCCCUUGUUGCUAAAUGUGGCCAUGUGUGGCUUGUUUCUGUUCCACUGCCAAAAACACCAGCAUUCAAGCACCUAAUAAGUUAUUUUUGAAGAGCACCACCAUUCUUUGUUCUCCUAUGAGAAGUAGCACCAAAGUCAGUAGUAACACCAUAACUAUAUGUUCCUUUAUUCAUACUAUCCAAAACCCAAUCACUACUAGCUUUAACACCAGUUCUUGCCUAUUCAGAAAGUUCAAAUUUAAAACCAUUUACACUUUUGUCCCUAACAGCAAUAGCAGCCACUUGUGCCACUGUUAAAGUUUCACCACCAAGUUUUACCAUUGGUUUUCUAAAUUCAUUCACCAUUUUUUCACUUAAUCCAAAUGACUCCCUCUUAAAGAUAAAGAAUAGAAUUUGUGAUACUGACUGAUUAGUCCCGGGGUGUCUGUCAUGCCCAAACUCCGGUAAGUAGAUCCACCUAUAUGAAAAAACUCAAACCAACACUAGGUGAGACAAAAACACUCCCUAUUAGACACAUGCAAGACAUGGCUGCGAUUAUUUUUCUAAAAUUGACCUAUGGGGCGAAAAAAGCAAGAUUUGGCUAAGACCCCCCGAAGCCAAGAACAUAAAAUCUACUAGGAAGACCGGGCCCGGUGUGGAUUGCCUACGUAUCAUGCCCCCAAAGACGAGAAUACAUCCAAAUGACUCCCUCUUAAAGAUUAAAGAAAUUGUGAUCCUGACUGACUAGUGCCAGUGUGUCUGUCAUGCCCAAACUCCGGUAAGUAAAUCCACCUGUAUGAAAAAACUCAAACCAACACUAGGUGAGACAAACACGCUCCCUAUUAGACACAUACAAGACAUGGCUGCGAUUAUUUUUCUAAAAUUGACCUACGGGGCUAAAAAUGCAAGAUUUGGCUAAGACCCCGCGAAGCCGAGAACCUAAAAUCUACUAGGAAGACCGGACCUUAUGUGGGUUGCCUGCGUAUCCCGCCCCGAAAGACGAGAAUCAGGUUCGUGUAGUUCGGACCGAUUGGAUACGGACGAGAAUUAAAAGAAAAACAACUAAUCUAGAGAAAAUAUAUAUUUUCUUUUUCCUUAAAGAAAAUGAUGAAACAUUCCAAAUCUUUUUGGAUUUUCCUUUUUCUUGUAAUUGAUUUUCAAAAAAUGAUAAAAAGGGCAAAAUCUUUUGAAUUUCUCAUGCUUUUUAUUAAUUAAAAAUAAUAAUAAUAAUAAAACAUAACUAGGCCCUCAUUGCUUUAUUUUCACACUUCACCCUCUUUUUUCUUUUUCCUUUUUUUUUUCUUUUUUCCUUUUUCAUUUUCAUUUGCCCUCAACUAUCCUUGGUCCACCAAAUGACCCUUUUACCCUUAAAAUAAAUGCAACACGUAGCACAUAUGAUACAUCAAGAUGGUCUGUUUAUUUCAGGUAGCUUGUCCUAGACGGACCCAACCCUUGUGUUGAGUCCCAUAAGCCAAAUGCCAUGAUGCAAAUAAGCGUUCCUAUUAAGGAUCUGACAUGAAGUCAUGUUAUUCUAGGUUCAAAACCUAGGUCGAUGUUUUAGACUGUGUACCCGAGCGAACAACUCGAGUCGAGGAGGGGGCAACUUUCCGAAAACUAAAGGCCAUCCGGCUUAGUAACUUGUCCGGCCUCUUUAUUAUGUCAGGGUAUGACACUAACAGACCAAGGAGGUGAGAAGAGAAGGGUGUCGGCACAUUUCAUAUACAAUUCAGAUAAUAUCAAAGAGGUAACAUUUAGCGCAUUCGGCACAAAACAUGUAGGAAAAUCGGAUAUAACCAAAUACAACAAUUUAUCUAAGCUCGAAUUCUGAAUCCUGAACAAAACAUUCUGUAUUGUUGUCCCUAGCAGAGUCGCCAGAACUGUCACGCCUUCUUUUUCACUAAACCUGCAAGGGCAUAAAGGAGUUUUUCCACUUAAAGAACAAUCGGAACGGGAUUUAAUUAUUAAGAUUUCAGAGUCGCCACUUGGGAGAUUAAUGGUGUCCCAAGUCAACGGUUGAAUCCCAAACCGAGGAAAAAUAUUGACUCAGUUAACAGUCCGCGAACCAGAAAUCCGGGUAAGGAAUUCUGUUAAUCAGGGAGAAUGUGUUAGGCAUUCCCGAGUUCUUGGUUCUACCACGGUCGCUUAACUAUUAUAUUUGAUUUUAUCUAAUUUCAAAACAUAUUUUAGCUUAUGUGCUUUUCAACCUUAGAAAGCUUUUAUAUUUAUUUUUAAUGAGAAUUGAAACGUCGUGAAAAUACAUCUCCAACCAUGUCACAUCAAUGCGCCCGCGGUUGUUGACAUAUUUCAACUUCGUUGGGAUUUGGAUUUGGGUCACAUAAAUGUGAACCCGAGAUUAAGAAGGUAAAUUAUUAAAAAUGCGCCUAAAGUGUCUAACGCGUUAUUAUCUUUGGGGGAGGGCUGUGAAAUUUUCUAAACAGCCCGUCCCGAUUCUAAUUUCAAAGGAUUGUACUCAACUAAAGCAAACUACGAGAUUUCAACAUCAAAUUAUCACUUUCUCGUCCUAACUCUCAACUCACCGCCCAUUGUCACCUAAAUCAAACAGCUAGCACCAAAACAUCUUCCUAUACAUCCAAUUAUUGGUAACAAAUUAACAACAAUGAGUAGAGAAGAAUAACUCAAAUAACAACAUUAAAAUUGCUACACAUAUUGCACACACAACCAAAGAUCUAGCUAACUACCAAAAUUCAUAAAAUUUAUAUCCUAAGUGCCUAUGAUCAUGCUGUAACGGGGUAAAAGCAACGGUACACAAAUGCCUUUCAUCAAGCAAAACCACAGUAACCUGCAAUUGAUAUCACUUUAAGCAUAACACUACAUCUACAAGCUCAAUAAUGCAUAGAUCUUAGCAAGACGGACUUGAGAUAAUCGUUUCCUUUCAAGCUUAAUUUCAACCAGAUGCGCUACUGAUCAUAAUUAGUGCAACAAUCAGAUUUUAGCCAUAAACAUGCGGCAAGCAAAUCUACACUCGAAUACAACUUUAAACAUGGACGCUUGAAUCAAGACAUAAUAACUUUCACCAAAAUACUACUUCUAAGUUUAUUCGGCUAUUGGAAUCAGACAACAAAUUCGAAAAAAGACUAGUAUUCUCUUUCCACAUAGACCGAAGACGUAAACAAUUCAAUCUAUUUAAACCCCGGCUCUCAUUAUCAGUUAAUCAUACCUUCAGCAUAAGAGUCAAAGAUUCAAACCUGAAUAAGAGCUUUGAAUUGAUGUUGAAAUCACUAGAAAGAGGUACAAAUGAAUUUGGAUGUGCAAAUUCCAGCAGCGAGCUAAACAUUGAGUAGCAACAAAAAACUAAUCAGACUAAACACAGCGGAACCUCGAGCAACAGCGGGGAACUCGACUCGACACCUCGACUCGAUUUCAAAAACUCAAAUAGUUCUCAGACGGCCACUCGAAGCAGUGAACCAAUUGAAACAACGGCUCUGAAUUCGACAACCACCAGUGAAUCCAAAUCCACAUUCGUUCACUUGAAGUCCAUCAUUUAAGAAUUUAACUCAAAACCCAAAACAAAUUUAAAAAAUCGAGAACAGAGGAAGGGAAAGACGAAUCUGUGUUUUUUUCUGUCCCCAGAUCUCCUCUCCCCCUUUUCUAAUUCUCUUAGUCUGUCCAAUAGAGGAGAGUGCGUGCAUUUUUAUCUAAAGAAGAAGAUGGGUAGAUUCACGUUAUUUCCGUGUCCCUAAGGUGUGAGGGAUC